GACUUCAAAGGGAAUGUGAUAAGCAAAUGUAGUCGAGCUUUCAGUCUGAACCAGGCACUUUAAUCAAAUUGUUUCAGAGGAAUCAAACUACAAACACGGACACACAGACGAGUGGGAAACAUUGAUUUUUCAGCCCGUGAACUUCCUCUUACACACAGCUCAUGCAACACACCGACAGCGCCUUCCCCCUUUAAUGGCGUAUUUUUAAAAAACAUUUGUUUCCAGUCUAUGUUGACCUCGGGGCAGGAAAAAGUCCAGACGUCCCGGUCUUUUAUGCCAGUCUCCUCUGUCUUUGCUUGUUCAUAUGAUGUAACAGGGUGUGAUGUUGACUAAAUGUUUAUUCUCUAUACAAACGUGAGUCUAUCUACUGGUGAAUUGCAAAAAUGCCAUUUGACAGAUGAUAUGACCAAAAAAUGCAAGUACAGUAUGUUAUGUUAAAGCAGUGAAUUUUGCUUUCAUGAGUAAGAAUAAUCCUUUUAAGAAUCAAGUGAAUUUUCUGUGAAUUCCAGCCUGAAGCUCAGAUUCCUUCCUUCAACACAAGAGUGAGGACUAGAGACUCUAUGAUGAUAAAUGCUGCUGCUGGCCAUUUAUGAUCCCUGCUAUUAAUUGAGGAUCUAAUCAAGUUAUACUUUGCAGAAAUGGAUUGAAUAACUUGAGAUUUUAACCCACAGGUGCAACUAAGAACCUUUUCUCAUAUACAUGAAGUGAAGGACAAUUUUGAGAAAUUUGAAAGAAAAUUUGUCUAAAUUGUAAUUCUUUGUUAAAAAAAUGACAAAAAGUGUAGUUAUCAAAAUAAACCAUAUUUCUAGUGUGAUCUAAACAAGGAAUGCAGGACCGCGUUCAGCCUUCACCAAGUUUAAAGUUGUGCAAAGGUUUUUCUUAGAAGUACAUCUGAGCCUCUCUGUGGCAGGAGCAGCGAGGAGCACGGAGAUCAGCGUUGUUUUCAAAGAGACCAAGUCCCAGAGGCGAGCUGGCAGACGGCUGGCUGGCACACGAUGGAGAUCAGAAGGAGAAUCACAGGUGAAAGAGCUGGUCCUUAAAUACUGAAGGCGAGAGGUUCAGGUGAUGAAGGUGUGACAGCCAAAGAUCCAGCUGGAGCCUUGGCCUCUGCCAUGCCUCUGGCAGGACAGAGAAACCUGCUCACAGACUCGUCCAUGGAGCAAAGGCAGAGGGAACAACUUCAUGAUUGUGGCCUUUAAACUUUGCAGUGGUUCUUCCCCGUCCUUUUCAAAUAUCAUUAAAUAACUUGAGAAC
Oreochromis niloticus (Nile tilapia) is the source of this 1254-nucleotide long non-coding RNA. RefSeq lists it as uncharacterized. Lineage: Eukaryota; Metazoa; Chordata; Actinopteri; Cichliformes; Cichlidae. The record is from RefSeq and is a predicted model, not a curated record. The transcript is spliced from 2 exons.